Molecule: long non-coding RNA, 643 nt
Filed under: Homo sapiens (human)
Lineage: Eukaryota; Metazoa; Chordata; Mammalia; Primates; Hominidae
Description: non-protein coding lnc-MAP6-1:2
Source: RNAcentral
UGUCAUUGGAAAAGUUUUAUUGAAAAAAAAAAUGUACAAAUAAGUUCUUGGAUUGAUAGCAACAAAGGCUCAUGUUCCCCCUUCCCUCCCUAUCUUUGAAGAACUAAAAAAGGAAGAAACAAAACAAAAAGUUCAUCCCCACAACGCCAGACACGAUGCUUCUUGACCAGAGUCUGCCCAGAAGCCCCUCCUGGGAGCUCCUUCUCAAUCCGCCUCACUGCGGCCAGGUCAUUCUGGGGGUGCCUGGUCCCAGGGGCUGCAGCACCUAGUUUUAUAGUUGGGAGAGGUUGGGAUAGAGCUGGGGAGGCAGCUGAGGUGUUUUAGUGUCAGAAGAGGGCUGGCUGACCCCCCUAGCUCAAUUUGGUCUCACAGGUGAGAAGGUACCUGGCUAUAAAUAUGAAUACUGAUUGAGGCAGGCUUGAUCUGGGACUUUCAGGGCAGGCAGAAUGACUAUGGCCCUAUAACUCGUCUCGCAUCUUGUCACCCUUAGGCCGGACCAGGCGCCCAAUGAAUAGCAGGGAGCCGCUUUGGGUGUCCCGCACUAGGAAGAUGAAGGGGUGGUCGGCGUAGAACAGCUUGGGGCUGCGCAGCUCCUCGCGCCCGUAGAUGUCCUGGUCAAAGGGGUUGCCAUCUGUGUCCAACU